GGGAGGCAGCAGUAAGGAAUCUUGCGCAAUGGGCGAAAGCCUGACGCAGCCAUGCCGCGUGAAUGAUGAAGGUCUUAGGAUUGUAAAGUUCUUUCGCCCGUGACGAUGAUGACGGUAACGGGAGAAGAAGCCCCGGCUAACUUCGUGCCAGCAGCCGCGGUAAUACGAAGGGGGCUAGCGUUGUUCGGAAUUACUGGGCGUAAAGCGCGCGUAGGCGGUUUUGCAAGCCAGAGGUGAAAUGCCUGAGCUCAACUUAGGAAUUGCCUUUGGGACUGUGAGGCUUUGAGGACGGAAGAGGUGAGUGGAAUUCCCAGUGUAGAGGUGAAAUUCGUAGAUAUUGGGAAGAACACCGGUGGCGAAGGCGGCUCACUGGUCCGUUUCUGACGCUAAAGCGCGAAAGCGUGGGGAUCAAACAGGAUUAGAUACCCCGGUA
RNAcentral lists this ribosomal RNA (433 nucleotides) under uncultured bacterium. Its description in RNAcentral is "bacterial SSU rRNA". It matches the Rfam family "Bacterial small subunit ribosomal RNA", at positions 343 to 792 of the family's 1533-position model. The record is from RNAcentral.